RNAcentral lists this small RNA (512 nucleotides) under Oryza sativa Japonica Group (Japanese rice). Its description in RNAcentral is "misc RNA miR159a". The record is from RNAcentral. Lineage: Eukaryota; Viridiplantae; Streptophyta; Magnoliopsida; Poales; Poaceae.
GAGCUAGCACAGCAACUCAUCUGUCGAGGGAGUGGUGCUGUGGUGGUGGUGGUCAUGGACUCAUUGGGCAUGGCCGCCUCGUCCGAGCCAAAGGCAUGUGAAGCGCUCGGAGUCAGAGAGACCAGGGCUGGGCUGGCGUCUGCUCGCUUCCCGAGAGAACCCCUUGUGAAGAUUCGAGCCAACCCCUUCCCCCUUCCUCUUCUCUCUCUUUUUCUCUCGCUUCUCCUCUUCUUUAAAGCAUGGACCAGCGCCUAGUAGCAUCUCCAUCCACGGCAGUAGGCAGCCGGUGCCAUGGGAGGGGGGAAGUAGGAGGGUUUUUCUUCUUCUUCUUUCUUCUCUCUCGUUUUCUCGCAGAAUCAUCUGUGUGCAGAUUCCAUGCUUUUCGUUAGGGUUAGCCUAUUGUGCUAAGCUUGUUUUUUCUUCCAUGGCUUCUUGUUCUUAUUCGUUUGGUUAUGUUGAGCUGUUCUUGUCGUUGCUGGAAAGUGUUGUGGACGUUGAGCUCCUUUCGGUCC